This 215-nucleotide ribosomal RNA is filed under the name Neisseria meningitidis. RNAcentral's name for it is "partial 16S ribosomal RNA". It matches the Rfam family "Bacterial small subunit ribosomal RNA", at positions 1298 to 1512 of the family's 1533-position model. The record is from RNAcentral. Lineage: Bacteria; Pseudomonadati; Pseudomonadota; Betaproteobacteria; Neisseriales; Neisseriaceae.
UUGCACUCUGCAACUCGAGUGCAUGAAGUCGGAAUCGCUAGUAAUCGCAGGUCAGCAUACUGCGGUGAAUACGUUCCUGGGUCUUGUACACACCGCCCGUCACACCAUGGGAGUGGGGGAUACCAGAAGUAGGUAGGGUAACCGCAAGGAGUCCGCUUACCACGGUAUGCUUCAUGACUGGGGUGAAGUCGUAACAAGGUAGCCGUAGGGGAACC